GAUGAAGAACGUAGCGAAAUGCGAUAAGUAAUGUGAAUUGCAGAAUUCAGUGAAUCAUCGAAUCUUUGAACGCAUCUUGCGCUCCUUGGUAUUCUGAGGAGCAUGCCUGUUUGAGUGUCAUUAAAUUCUCAACUACACUGACUUUGAAUUGGUGUGGCUUGGUUUUGGGGGGAAAAUUGUUGUGGGCUUUUUGUAUAGUCUGCUCCCCUGAAAUUGAUUAGCGGUACCUUUGUGGAACUGUCUACAGGUGUGAUAAUUAUCUACAUCUUAGACAUCUGCUGGAAUGCUGCUUUCUAAACCUUACUUGUAUUGACAAUCUUGACCUCAAAUCAGGUAGGACUACCCGCUGAACUUAAGCAUAUCAAUAAGCGGAGGA
RNAcentral lists this unclassified non-coding RNA (376 nucleotides) under soil metagenome. RNAcentral's name for it is "partial contains 5.8S ribosomal RNA, internal transcribed spacer 2, and large subunit ribosomal RNA". The stretch from base 1 to 120 matches the Rfam family "5.8S ribosomal RNA", at positions 35 to 154 of the family's 154-position model. The record is from RNAcentral.